GCAAAAACAUGUUCACUUAUACAAGUAUAUUUUUAGGCUUAUCCAAACAUGCACCAACUCCAGCCACCCAAUUCUUUUUCCUACGUACAUUCCCCAAUUCUCUGAAGAAAACAUUGAAACCUAUCCUAAAUACGCUCUACACAUAUCUUUUGCUGUCAUAGAGGUUUUCUUGUUAGAAUCAAGAAAAUGGGUAAUGAUGAAUUGAUAUUGUUAAGUUACUGGCCAAGCAUGUUUGGAGCCAGGGUCAGAAUUGCAUUGGAAGAGAAGGGACUCAAUUAUGAGUACAGAGGAGAGGAUUUGCCAAAUAAUAAAUCUCCUCUGUUGCUCGAAAUGAACCCGGUUUACAAGAAAAUUCCGGUUUUGAUUCACAAUGGGAAACCAAUUUGUGAAUCGAAUAUUAUAGUUCAAUACAUUGAUGAGGUUUGGAAUGAUAAAGCUCCACUUCUGCCCUCUGAUCCUUAUGAAAAAGCUCAAGCUAGGUUUUGGGCUGAUUAUAUUGAUAAGGUGAGUAAUCUCCUCACACCCAUACCCAUUAAUAAGGAUUAUUUAUUUAUUUAUUUAUUUUUUUGCUGGGCUGCUUAUUUUCUUUGCUGUUUGAACCAUAUUUGGUCUUCAUAGAACUUUAAUGAAUCUGUGCUGUGUAAAUCAGUUCACCUGUGCUAUAUGUACAUAAUAAUUUACAUUACAUGAUGUGGUGAGAUAUGAUUCGAUGAGAAUUUCUUCAAUCAACUGGAAAAAAAAAAAAAAAAAUUCUCUACUUUGUUUUCAAGUUUAUUCUAACCCGAUACUGCUAGCCUUAACCGCCCAGGCUUAGGGUUGGAAAAAUUUGUUCUACCUAUCAUUUAGGCAGGAAAAUAGACAGUUUACAUUGAUCGGUGAAGAAGUGUUUAGAAGGAAAAAAGCGCACACCUUUUUUCUUUUACAAAUGGUAGUUUCUUAUUUUGAAAUUCAGCUUAACAAAAUGUUCAAUCAUAAGCUUUGGAUUAUUAAUUUAGGUUAUUUAUUUAUAAUAUAGAAUAUUUUAUUUAUUAAAAUCCAGCAUACCAAUAUGUUUGUUGUUUACUGAAUAUAGAACACUUACUUAUCCCCGAACAAAAUUUUUUUGAUUUGGAGUAGUUAUGAACUUAUGAGUUUGAAAAUUAAGUCCUAUAGAUUGUUGAGAUUGAAGCACAAAGGAAAUUCUCUUUUAUUAUUAAACAAACUUGUACAAUUAAUUUUAUCACAACACUAUCUUGAUUAAUCUCUCUCCCACACCACUUGUAUAUGUGUGCCUCUCUUUCUCUAUCUCUCUUCACACACCCCUUCCUGCACUCUUUCCUUUCUUUGUUUCUCUUAUUCACUCACUUCACCAUGCACCAUCCCCUAUUUAUUGCGGUAUAAGUUGGUGGUGACAAUUCUAGAUCCCUCUAGCUUUAGUAAUAAGAUAAUAUUACAAAUGGCUCCUAGAAUCUUCUAGCAUAUAGGCUGUAAAACUGCAUGUGGGUAAAUUAGUGGCGCACUAACUAGAAAAUUCUAGAUUUUAAAGUCGGUAAUGAUCUUCAAUUCUCUCCUUCAGCAUCGACUUUUCAUUUUUACUCUUUUCUUUUUCGUCACGUCGAGUUUUGCUUCAGAUUCGAUCAAUUUCAAAUCACUUGAUCCUUUAUUCAAUACAUUGGCGACUUCAAAUAUAUCUUACUCUUUCAGGCUUUCAUCUUUAUCGAUUUUCAAAUUAGGAUAAUUGAUACUUGAUUUCUCGUGUCUAUUCGACUUCUAUAUUUGUGAUUGUAAAUUUGUACGUACCUCGAUUUCUUGUUGUCUUUAUCGAUCCUUCACUAUUAUUCCUACACCUUUUUGUUCAGGACUCUGUAUUGCCCUUAUAAAUUCUUCUUUAACAUUUGAUACAUGUAGAUCUUUAGAUUCUUAGGACUUUGUGUUACCUUUAGAUGUUCAUGUUCAUUGAUUGACUCUAUCGCAUCCAUUUCCUUUGAAUCUAGCAAUUCCAUUCUCUAUAGUGUCUGCCAAGAAUAAGCUUCUUCAAACAUUUCCUUUAAGUUUGGUAGUUCUUCUCUCUACGGAGUGCAUCAAGAAGACUCUUCAGGAAUCAAGGUGUCCUCUCUUGAGUCAUUGACCAAAUCAUCUUCUCCCGAGUAAGAGUAAAUUUAACCAAUGCUCACUGAACUUUAAAUUUGGUUACUACUUGCUCACUUAUCUUUCGCGGGUUACUGAAUGUUCACUCAUCUUUUCAUAUAGUUACUCAUCCACCACUCGUCUUUUCAAAUAAUUGGACGACUUUUGCGGCAACUUUACGACAACUUCCGACCACCAAGAAUGUCGAAUUUUGAUACCAUUGGAAAGCUUACGAUAUCCUCUUCAAUUACCUUUCAAAAUCUCCCUAUAACUCCAAGGGAUUCGAUCGAAAAAUUGCCUUAAAAGUCACCCAAAAUUUUUGAAAAUCUGCCCAGAUUUUUCAGAUUUUUUAGGCGACUUUUAAGACAUUUUUUGGCAACUUUCGACUAUCAAAACUGCUGAAUUUUGAUACCAUUGGAAAGCCCACAAUGUCCUCUUCAAUUACCACCCAAAAUUUUCGCAUAACUCCAAGGGAUUCAGUCAAAAUAAACCCACAAAGUCAGCAUCCCGAAAAGGCAAAUAUCUGGACAGAGUUCGGGAUGCUGACUUUGUGGGUUUAUUCCGACCGAAUCCUUUGGAGCUAUGGGGAAAUUUUGGAUGGAAAUUGAAGAGGACAUUGUGGGCUUUGCAAUGGUCUGCAGUUUUGAUGUUUGAAAGUUACCAAAAAAUUGCCUUAAAAGUCGCCCAAAAAAUCUGAAAAUCUGGGCAGAUUUUCAGAAUUUUUGAGCAACUUUUAAGGCAAUUUUUCGAUCGAAUCCCUUGGAGUUAUAGGGAGAUUUUGGAUAGUAAUUGAAGAGGAUAUCGUGGGCUUUCCAACGGUAUCAAAAUUCGACAUUCUUGGUGGUCGGAAGUUGUCAAAAAGUUGCUGUAAAAGUCGCCCAAUUAUUUGAAAAGACGAGUGGUGGAUGAGUAAUUAUAUGGAAAUAUGAGUGAGUAUUCAGUAACCCGUGAAAGAUGAGCGAGCAAGUAGUAACCAAGCUUAGAGUUCAGUGAGCAUUGGUUAAAUUUAUUCCCCGAGUUAUUAGUUUAAUCAUCGUCACAAUCCAUUUGCUCAGGCAAGACUACUACCAAAGCUGAUUCAUCCUUUAAAUUUGAAUUAAAUUUCUUUUCUCGGUCUUGCUCAAUUGUUGCUGUGAUUGCCUUAGCAUCUCAUUCUUCUUCACUAGUGCAUUUAUCCUGUUGGAGGUUGCUACAUUAUCUUCUGCUGACUCCUUUUUAAACCCACAAUCUCUAGCAUAAUGAUCUCGUUUGCCUUAUCUUGUUGGAGGUUGCUACAUUACCUUCUGUUGACUCCUUUGGAUAGCUGAUCUCUCUUACCUUCCUUGUCACAUAACUUUCUUCAUGUUUAUUUUAUUUUUAAUUCUUUAUCAUUCUAUUGAAGGGGUCGACCUCUUCUUUUAUAACUAUAUAGUGCUUCUUCCUCUUCUUUCUUUAUUGAGAGUCCUGGCAUUUGUCUAGUCGAUGCUUGUUGAUUGAUCAGCAAAUUCUCAAAAUUGACCAAUGAAGAUUGCUCUGGUCAACCUUCUAUUGCAGCAAUAAAAUUUCCAAAUUUGGGUUUCAAGCCAUGUAUGAUUAUUCUUCUCAUUCUGGACUCUGAAAUUUUACUUGAAGCAUUUAACUCAGAAACUUUACAAUAGAGAGAUUUAACUUUAUUGAAAUAUUGACUUAAUGUCAAAUUACUUCGAGUAAUCUAGAGCAGCUCAUCCUCCAGAAGCUGCAACCUCAGAUCAUUUUUUCUCGAGAAUAGUAAAGCUAAAGUGUCUCAUGCUUCCUUUAAUGUGGUCUUAUCUCUUAUGUGCUCUAACAAUAUGACUCCAUACAAGUUUGUCAUAUGGUGUACUUAUGAUUAUUGAACUUCCUCACUCCGCCUACCACUUGUAGGUCACCCAUCGUGAUUUGAAUUACCUCCUCGUAAUCAAGUAAGCUUUAUGAAAAUUUCACAAACUCUUUUUGUGUACGAACUCAAGAAACUAAAAAAUCCCUUCCUGACCGUCUCGCUCUGAUACCAAGUUGUUGGGAUUGAAGCACAAAAGAAAUUCCCAUUUAUUACUAAACAAACUUCUACAAUUAAUUUUAUUACAACACUAUCUUGAUUAAUCUCUCAGGGACCACUUGUAUAUGUGCGCCUCUCUUUCUCUCUCUCUCUUCACAUACCUUUUCCUGCACUCUUCACUUUCUUUGUUUCUCUUAUUCACACACUUCACCAUGCAAGAUCUCCUAUUUAUAGAGGUACAAGUUGGUGGUGACAAUUCUAGAUCCCUCUAGCUUUAAUAAUAAGAUUAUAUUACAAAUGGCUCCUAUAAUCUUCUAGCAUAUAGGCUGUAAAACUACAUUUGGGUAAAUUAAUGAUGCACUAACUAGAAAAUUCUAGAUUUUAAAGUCGGUGAUAAUAUUCGUAAAUAUUAAAAUAUUAGUUAUUUUAUUUAUUGGUUUACCAUAUUUAAAAUAAUACUCAAAAUAGGAAAAUAUUUCAUUAAAGGUGUGUUUGAUUGGCAUGAAAAGUGUUACCUAGAAAAGAAAAUGCUUUCCUUGAAAUGAAAUAUGAAUUGUGUUGUUUAUUUCAUAAUUGAUUAUACAAUUAGAGGGUUUACAAUUUAUAGUGUACAAGAGUUGGCAAAUAAGGAAAAAAUCUACUCUCCUAAAAUAAGAAAGAAAUCAAUACUUAUUUUACAUUACUCCAAUUAUGGAAUGUAAAUAUUCUAAAAUCAAUUUGGUUCCUAUCUUUAUUUGAUAGGAUUCAGUUUCCACACUUCCCCUCAAAUUGGAUCAUAGAUGUUAAUCAUGUCUAAUUGCAUAUGAAUCGUUGAAGCUUGGACGAGGUAGUCCCUUAGUAAAGAUAUCUGCAACUUGCUCUUGUGUAGGAAUAUAAGUCAUGCAAAUGGUUCCUUCCUCAACUUUCUCCUUUAUGAAGUGUCUGUCAACUUCUUUAUGUUUGGUACGAUUAUGUUGGACUGGAUUAAGUGAGAUAUUGAUUGCUGCCUUGUUAUCACAAAGCAUUUUGAUGGGAAUUUUGUUUUAACAUGCAAUUCUUCUAGGAGUUUUCUCAACUACAGCCCUUCACAUAUUCCUUGUGCUAUAGCCCUGAAUUUAGCUUCAGCGCUACUUCUGGCAACCACAUUUUGUUUCUUACUCCUCCAAGUUACACGAUUUCCCCACACAUAAGUGCAAUAGCCAGUAGUUGAUCUUCUGUCUUCUAUUGAACCUGCCCAAUCUGCAUAUGUAAAGAUUUCAAUUUCCCUUUUUUCACUUUUCUUAAAAAGCAGUCCCCUUCCUGGGGAUCCCUUUAGGUAUCUCAGUAUCUUAUAGACUGCUUUCAGGUGACUUUCCUUUGGUGAGUGCAUAUGUUGACUUACACGGCUCACUGCAAAUGCAAUAUCAGGUCUAGUGUAUGAUAAGUAUAUUAACUUUUCAACCAGUCUUUGGUAUCCAUCUCUUUCCACUUCCUUCCCAUCUUCUUCAGGUCUUUUUCCUGCUUCGAUAGGUGUAUCACUCGGUUUACAACCUAGCAUCCCUGUUUCUGUUAGGAGAUUAAUGACAUACUUACGUUGUGAAACACUAAUUCCACCCUUUGAUCUCGCCACCUCCAUUCCCAAGAAGUAUCGCAUUUGUCCCAGAUCCUUUACCUCGAAUUCGGUGGCAAGACAUUUCUUUAGUCUUUCAGUUUCAACCACAUUGUCUCCUGUUAGAACAAUAUUAUCAACAUAUACAAUUAAGAUUUUCUUUGUUCCAUCAUUGAAGUGUUGAUAGAACAUAGUAUGAUCCGACUGCCCUUGUCGAUAUCUUUGACCUUUUAACACCUUUGCGAAACUGUCAAACCACGCCCUUGGUGACUGUUUGAGUCCAUAUAGAGACUUCUUAAGUUUGCAUACAUUAUUUCCUUCAUCAGCUCUACUGAACCCAGGUGGUAAAGUCAUGAAAACCUUCUCUUCUAAUUCUCCGUUCAAGAAAGCAUUUUUAAUGUCAAGUUGUUGAAGUGGCCAAUCGAAGUUGGUUGCUAAGGAUAGAAGGACCCGGAUUGUAUUCAAUUUUGCUACUGGUGCAAGCGUUUCUUUGUAGUUGAUGCCAUAUGUUUGUGUGUAUCCUUUUGCAACUAAACGAGCUUUGUACCGUUCUAUUGUUCAAUCAGCUUUGUAUUUCAAAUUGAAGACCCAUUUGUACCCAACUGGUCUCUUUCCUUUUGGUAGGUGUAAUACCUCCCAAGUCUUAUUUUUGUCUAAUGCCCUCACCUCUUCCAAUGCUACUUCCCUCCAUUUAGGACUUCCUAAGGCUUCUCCAAUAUCUUUCGGGAUCUCUGUGCUAUCAAGAUGAGAUGUAAAAGCACGAAAUCUAGUAGAUAAAGCAUUAUAUGACAUAAAUUUUGAGAUAGAAUGAAGAGUACAUGACCGAGUAGGUUUUCUGAGAGCAAUGGGUAAGUCAGGAAUAUCUGAAGCUUCUUGAGGAGCCAUCAUCGGUUCUUAUUCUUUUGGUGCCUCGGAUGUGAUGGUUUCUUUGUACUUUGAUUUUGGCUUUUGUGAGUAAACCAACAAGUCUUCAUUACUUUGUUUUUCGACAUCUCCCCUGGCUGUAAGUUGUGCUUUAUUAAUCUCUGAUGCUCGGACUCUUCGAAAUAGUUGAAGUACCCGUGUCGGACAUGACACGACACGACAUGGGAAUGGGUAUGAGAUAUGUGUCGAAUCCUCCAAAUUUUAAUCGGACACUUCGUUUUUGCUUUUCUUCUUUCUUUCUUUUUUUUCCUUUCAUUUUCUUCUUUCCCGUUUCUAAUUAGUUCUCCACUAAGUCCAAAUUAUAAUCAAGUCCAUUAUUUGCUAUUUUAUAUAAUAUUUAAUAAUGUCUAUAAUUGAAAACUAAACCCCAAAAUCUAUUUUAUUCGUCUCAACACCUUAUUCAAUAUCCAUUUCCUUCUUUGUGAAUAAUAGAUUUUGAUUUAUUCAAAAUGACUUCUUGAAUUAGUAAAAAAAAAUUGAACCUUGAAAGACGUAUCCACGUACCUGUGUUUGAAAAUUGGACUCUUUUUAACCAUGUCGCCGUAUCUUAUAUUUUAGAAAAUAAAAGAUCCGACACCUAGAUAUGUACCCAUACCGGAUACCUGUACCCGAGUCCGAGCAUCAUAGCUAUUAAUAGCAUAUUAGAUGGUGGUAUAGGGUUGUUUGUAAAUGUAGGUUUAGGAGAGAUGAGGUCAAUGUCUAGGAACUGAUCUUCAUGCAAUCUCUCUCUGAAGAGAGGUUUUUUUAAAAUACGGGGUCGUUUCAAAGAAGGUAACAUCAAGACUUACAAAUAUUUUUUUGUGUGGAAGGAUCAUAGCAUUUGUAGCCCUUUUGUGUAGGGGAAUGACCGAUCAGAACACAUUUAACAGCUCGAGGAUCCAAUUUAUCUCGGCGAUGAGAAUGAAUAUGAACGAAGGCAGUACAUCCAAACACCCGUAAGGGUAGGUUGGAGUUGAGGCGAGAGGUAGGAAACAAUGUUUGAAGUUUUUUUAGGGGAGAUUCGAAAUUUAAGGUAAGACUCGGCAUUCUGUUGAUUAGGUAGGUUGAUGUCAGAAUUGCAUCCCCCCAGAACAUUUUUGGCAUAUUAGAAGUGAACAUCAAUGCUCGAGCAACUUCUAGAAUGUGUCUAUUUUUGAGUUCAGCGAUCCCAUUCUGGUGGGGGGGAUCAACGCAAGAGCUUUGAUGAAUUAUUUCAUGUAAUUGGAGAAAAUUACUCAAGGUGGUAUUGAAGUAUUCGGUGCCAUUAUUCGUACGUAAAAUUUGAAUCUGUGUUUGAAAUUGUAUUUGGAUCAUGGAGUAAAAGUUGAUGAAUAUAGAGCAAACAUCCGGUUUAUCUUUUAGUAGGUAUACCUAGCAAAUUUAGGUAUGAUUGUCAAUGAACGUCACAAACCACUUUGCAUGAGUUCGAUUAGGAAUUCGUAAGGGACCCCAUAAGUCGCUAUGUAUCAUAGUAAAUGGCUUGGAAGGUUUGUACGUGGAGGUUGGGAAUGAUGUACGUUGAUGUUUUGCAAAUUCACAUAUUUCGCACUGAAUAUCAAUGGAAUUUUUAUUCAUGAAAAUUGAUGGGAGUACACAUUUUAGGUACUGAAAGUUUGGAUGACCCAUUCUAAAAUGUCAUAACAAAAUAUCACUAUCGCUAGAAACAGAUGUAGAAUUACAAAUAGUAACUUGACUUUGUUUACCCACAUCAACCUCGUCAAAGUAGUAGAGUCCAUCACUUUCCUCAGCACUGCCAAUCGUCUUCCCCGAUGAUAGGUCUUGAAAAACACAGCAAGAUGGAAAAAAUUUAGCAGAACAAUUUGAGGUUUUUGUCAAUUGGCUUAUGGAAAGUAAAUUGCACGACAGCUUUGGAACGUGAAGGACAGGUUCUAGAGUUAUAGAGUCAGAAAUUUUUAUACUCCAUUUCCCUGCAACCGAUGACAGUGAGCCAUCUGCGAUUUUAACUUUCAGAUUUCCAGCACAGGUGGAGUAUGUAGUGAACAAAUGGUAGGAAUCCAUCAUUUAGUCUGAAACUCUUGAGUCAAUAAUCCAAGAAAUUUUAGAUUUAGAUUGUAAAGCGCUCAUAAAAUUACCUCUGUGGGCUAAUGAGCUAGAGAGAUUUUUUGUGGAUGUUUGAUUUGAUGAUUGGAGGCUAAAAAAUAUUUUGUAUAGUUGCUCCAUUUGUUCAGCAUUGAAUGCACCGCUCGACUCGGUCUUUCCCGUUUGGUAAUCAACAGAUGCUUAAUACCCACGAUUUUUAUUAUUUUUUCUUGGCUUCAAAUCACUCGGUUUCCCGUGUAAAUUCCAACAAGUAUUCUCUUUAUGUCUUGACUUUCGACAAUGCUCACACCACGGCCGACCUCGUUGUUUUGGGCCUGGCUCAGAUGUGCCUCCCUUGGAAUAUAAUCCCAUCAUCCAAGUUCCAUCAUUUAAGUUAUUUGGUCCAAUAUUCAAGCCCAUUCCACCGUUCAAAUCAGUCGGCCCAUUAUUGCCAUUAGUUGGCUCAACAAUAGGCCUAUUACCUUCUCUAUUUUUCAACCCAUAUCCAGAUGGCCCAAGUUUGUUGGAGGUCAGUCCCAAUACUUCCACCGCCUGCGCAUUGGACUCAUUCAACAUGACCUUCCACCGGUCUUCUUCUCUUCUCACCUCCGAAAACACUUCUCGUGGAGAGGGAAGGGGACGUUGGCCAAGUGUUCGGCCGCGAACAUCAUCUAGAUUGCGAUGAAGUUCAGCAAGAAACUCACACACCCUUUCAGUUUCCAAUUUCUUUGAAUACCGCACGCUAUCUUCUGCACACUUCCAUUCUUCCUCAGUACUCAUGUCGAAUUCUUGCCAUAAUCUGGUAAUUUCCAGGUAAUAGUCCAUCACAUCUCGAUUUCCUUGCUUUGUUUGCCAUAGCUUCGACUUGAUUUCGAAAAUUCUGGAAAAAUUCUCAGAGUCAGUACAUUUCUUUAACUGCUUCCCAAACCUCUUUUGCAGAUGGGAGAAAUAAAUAUGUUUUUCCAAUGUUCGGCUUCAUGGAAUUGACAAGCCAGGUAGUCACCAUCGAGUUCUCCGACUUCCACUUCUGAUGGAGAGCCAUGUUGGUUGAGGUCGGCACCUUGGUUUUUCCAGUUAAGUAUGCAAGUUUUCCUUUUCCGUCGAUUAUUAGCUUUAUCAACUAUGCCCAUUCUCUAUAGUUCUUCCCAUUCAGUUUCUCAAUCGAGAGUUGAAAGGCUGAGUUUUCAAUUCCCCCUAUGUUCAUGGCAAACGUGGCUUGUACAUUUGAGUCAGAAGUCAUGGAGCUCUUGUCGUGAGGAGCUGAUUUGACCAUGUAUUGACUGGGUUAAAACCAACUUGGCUCUGAUACCAUAAUGAAAUAUGAAUUAUACUAUUUAUUUCAUAAUUGAUUAUACAAUGAGAGGGUUUACAAUUUAUAGUGUACAAGAGUUGGUAAAUAAGGAAAAAAUCUACUCUCCUAAAAUAAGAAAGAAAUCAAUAUUUAUUCUACAUUACACCAAUUAUGGAAUGUAAAUAUUCUAAAAUCAAUUUGGUUCCUAUCUUUAUUUGAUAGGAUCUGGUUUCCAAACCUUGUUUUGAAGAAAACAAAAACCUAUCUUCCUCCAAAGAAAAUGUUUUCCUUAAAAACAAGGAAAACGAAGCAUAUUUGCAGAAGUUGGAAAAUAUCUUUCAUGGAAAAAAGGACAAUCAAACGCUCUAAAAGUUAGAAUUUGGGAGAAAAAAGGCCAUUUUCCAUGGAAAAUUUUCCAAUCACACACCCUAAGUCUAGAUUCAUAAUGCUCCAGACUUGACUUCUACGUUUUACCACGGCAUACGCCAUUUAGAACCAUUAGUUAUAAAGACAUUGAUGUAUGAGUGGAUUAGAAUAUUUUAAUAAUGUAGUACGCUUUUUUUUUUUUUUUCUUAUACACUAAUUUUAAAAAGGAAAAAUACUCGCUAACUCCAAACAAAAUCAACCAAAAGAUUAAUGGAUUUUAGUGGAUUAUAUAGCACGGCCAUACUUUCAUCUUGCAUGUCUCCCAUAUGUGGGAGAUGGUCCCACAAUUAUUUUCUUGUCUUAUUGUGUGAUUUAUUGCCGUAUUGGGUCUCUACCACAGAAGGCGACAAUCCUCAACCAAUGCUCUAUUUGAACUUUCAAUCACGUCCGCCCCUUUUAUUUAGUAGAAAAAUAGUUUCCAUGAAACCUGUUUCCAAGAAAACAUUUACAUGUCCUAAAGAUAAGUGUCAAGCCUCGAAAUAUAGGCCAAAGCUUGGCUCCAAUACGGCCUAUAAAACUUGCUAUCCAUUUCCCUUGGUCAUCUCUAACGAUUCCAACAAUAUUCCUUGAGGCCAUGGAUUUCCAAUAUUGUUCUUCUAGUAAACCUUUUUAAAUGAGUAUUUACUCGAAAUGCACUAUCAGCACUCAACGGCAGAAAUAGUCGAAUUCUUCAUUAAAAUAGUGAUCUUUAAUAGCAAUUCGAAUGGUUAUUGUAAUUAACUACUACACUGUAAUUAAUGUUUGAAGAGCGAAAGAGCUACUUGUACUUUACUAACUAUUUACUCAACUGGAGUUAGAUGUGUGGACUAAUCGAGAAAUUGUCCUUGCAAGAUAAAUUCUAUUGUCUAUGUUAUCUUUGGAUAUUUGACAUGAGUCUUAGAUGGAUGGCAUUUGUAACAUGUUUGAAAUGUUGAUAUUUCUAUGUUAUAAUGUGAUGUUGAACCUUUUUAUCGAGAAAUUUACUUAAAUUCUAUUUAAUAAUUGUGGGAUUAUGAAAUUACAGAUACGCGAUAUUGGGUGGAAAAUAACAUAUCAUAAGAACAAAGUAGAGGUAGAGGAAAGCAAGAACGAAUUGCUCGAAAUGUUGAAGGCCUUGGAAGGAGCACUAGGAGAUAAGCCUUAUUUUGGAGGGGAAAACUUUGGAUAUGUUGAUAUUUCUCUUAUUGGAUACUACAUGAUAUUUUAUACCUAUGAGACCUGUGCGAAUUUCAGUAUAGAGGCUGAGUGCCCCAAGCUAAUUGCAUGGGUAAAGAGGUGCUUGGAGAGGAAGACCGUUUCCAAGUCUCUUGGUGAUCCCAAAAUUGUCUAUGAAAUAGCUGUCGAGUGGAAAAAGAGGCUUGGUUUAGAGUAGUGAGGAAUUGUGUUAUGUUUGCGAAUAAACACGAAUGCAUUUGAAAUAGCGGAGAAUUUUACGUCCUAUAUAAACGACAUAAUGCUCGUUCACAAGAGUGUCUGAAUCGUGUUGCGUUGCGUUGUGUUGUGUAAUGUCUUGUUGACGAUUUUUAAUGUGUUUUUAAUAAAGAAAGCGUCAAGUUGUGUUUGUAUCUUAGGUAGUCCUUUUGUUUUCCUUAAGAGUUUUGAUAAGGUGGGUUAGACAUGCUAAGUUAGUUUUCUAAUUUUUCAGAAAAUUGAAAACGUCACCUUUGACCACCUUCAAAAUGGUCUAUCCUUUUGUUUGAGUUGUAAGUUAAUCCUCAAUUUAUAGAAAGCGAGCGAGUUGAUUCUUGCACUCCUUGAAAUGGUGCAUAAACACUAACCAGUCUCCAUGGACAGUUUCUUUCUAAUUUUUUGUAUUCUUGUUUUCAAUAGCAAAGAAGAAAAGGAAAUUAGAAUUUAUUUUUCUUUUUUCCCUUUCCUUUUUACUUAUUUGUUGUUAAAACUAUUUUUUACCUAUUUUAGUUUGAAAAUAGUGCAUUACAUAUGCCUUAAUAGAUUUUUUAUUAUAAUAAGGG
Molecule: long non-coding RNA, 12278 nt
Filed under: Olea europaea subsp. europaea
Lineage: Eukaryota; Viridiplantae; Streptophyta; Magnoliopsida; Lamiales; Oleaceae
Source: RNAcentral